This 1330-nucleotide long non-coding RNA is filed under the name Pan paniscus (pygmy chimpanzee). Its description in RNAcentral is "lncRNA (ENSPPAG00000044287.1)". Lineage: Eukaryota; Metazoa; Chordata; Mammalia; Primates; Hominidae. The record is from RNAcentral.
AGGGAAGAAGGGAAGGAAGGAAGGAAGAGGGGAAGGAGGGGGAGGAGGGAGGAAUGAAGAGAGAGAGGAAGGCAGUGAAGGAGGGGAGAGAGGAAGGAAGGGAGAAAGGAAAGAAGGAAGGAAGGAAAAAAGGAAGGGAAAGAGGAAGGGAUAGAGGAAGGAAAGAAGGAAGGAAGGAAGGAAGGGCAAUUGGUACUAACUUCUUGUAGUGCCCAGGCACUCUUCCCCUAGUGGGCAGGGCAGAGAGACUGUGAAAGGUGGAGAUGAAGGAGAGUCAUCAUUUCACUCUUGAGAAAGGACGGAGCAGUCUGUGUGGAAGAGAUGAGAUCUGGGAUAAAUUGGAAAAGGUGUCAAAAAAUUAGGAGGGAAGAAAUAUUUCCAGCAAGUCUGCUACCACACUCCUCAAAUUCAACUAAGAGUGGUGAUUUAAUCUGCAGGCCCCGACUGGACGGCUUUGGCUAAGGAACCAACGCAGGUGGAGAAGGAGGCUGACGAUGGAGCCCAGGCACUCCAGCCUUGAAGGAGGAGAACCCGACCCAGAACGAGAAACACAGCAGAGAGGGAAUGGUCAACCCCAGAGCACUGGCCACUUUGGGAAAAUGGACAUCUCCUCUCCUCUGGCUGAAGGAAAGUAAGAAGACAUGGUGUUGCCCCAGGCUGUGUAGCCCACAACAAUUUUCCAUCCAAAUGCAUGAGCCCGGGUUCCCGAUGAAGACUUGGCUUCUCCUGAGCCCGGGGGUCCUGGCUGCUCUGGUGCCAACCCCUGGGUGUCUUCGAGCUGCAGAGGGCUUGCCACGUGCAUCCUCCUCCCUCUGCUUGAGCCACGGAGACCAGGCUGGACUAUGUUCCACAAAGACUUUUUCCCCUCAGGGGUCUCCUCCCAACAACACUUAACCAAGCUUUGUAUUCAACAAGGAACACAUUCCGCCUCCACCAAACCUCAUUGAAAACACAGAGGUGCAUGGAUAACCAUGGCCAAAUCAUAACUGGUAUGCGUGCUCAUGGUUUUCUUUGAAACUCUGUCUUUUAAAAAUCUUUCCCACAUGAAGAGCCACAAUAAAUGACAAAUACAAAUUUUAAGUUUAUAAGGAAAGUAUGCUAGUAAGUGUAAGCAAAUUAAAAGGAUGUCCCAUAGGGUGGUAACAACUGAUUCAGUGUUGUCAAAUGUUUUGGAUCCCCGUCGGUGGUAGGAAACAUACUUUGUGGCCUGCCUCAGUAGACUCAUGCAUAUGCACAAAGAUGAGUGAGGUGAAGCUCAUCUUUACUGUGACACACUUCAUUACAUCCUGUUCUGUUGAAAAGGAAUGGAUUGCUGUCAGGAUUCUGUCCC